This 468-nucleotide ribosomal RNA is filed under the name uncultured bacterium. RNAcentral's name for it is "partial 16S ribosomal RNA". It matches the Rfam family "Bacterial small subunit ribosomal RNA", at positions 28 to 507 of the family's 1533-position model. The record is from RNAcentral.
GACGAACGCUGGCGGCGUGCUUAACACAUGCGAGUCGAACGGAAAGGCCCUGCUUUUGUGGGGUGCUCGAGUGGCGAACGGGUGAGUAACACGUGAGUAACCUGCCCUUGACUUUGGGAUAACUUCAGGAAACUGGGGCUAAUACCGGAUAGGAGCUCCUGCUGCAUGGUGGGGGUUGGAAAGUUUCGGCGGUUGGGGAUGGACUCGCGGCUUAUCAGCUUGUUGGUGGGGUAGUGGCUUACCAAGGCUUUGCCGGGUAGCCGGCCUGAGAGGGUGACCGGCCACAUUGGGACUGAGAUACGGCCCAGACUCCUACGGGAGGCAGCGGUGGGGAAUAUUGCACAAUGGGCGGAAGCCUGAUGCAGCAACGCCGCGUGCGGGAUGACGGCCUUCGGGUUGUAAACCGCUUUCGCCUGUGACGAAGCGUGAGUGACGGUAAUGGGUAAAGAAGCACCGGCUAACUACGUG